CAGCCGCCGCGGUAAUACGUAGGUCCCGAGCGUUGUCCGGAUUUAUUGGGCGUAAAGGGAGCGCAGGCGGUUUAGUAAGUCUGAAGCUAAAGGCAUUGGCUCAACCAAUGUAUGCUUUGGAAACUGUUAGACUUGAGUGCAGAAGGGGAGAGUGGAAUUCCAUGUGUAGCGGUGAAAUGCGUAGAUAUAUGGAGGAACACCGGUGGCGAAAGCGGCUCUCUGGUCUGUCACUGACGCUGAGGCUCGAAAGCGUGGGUAGCGAACAGGAUUAGAUACCCCCGUAGUCCCUGUCUCUUAUACA
RNAcentral lists this ribosomal RNA (301 nucleotides) under uncultured bacterium. RNAcentral's name for it is "partial 16S ribosomal RNA". It matches the Rfam family "Bacterial small subunit ribosomal RNA", at positions 509 to 808 of the family's 1533-position model. The record is from RNAcentral.